UGUCCGAUGGUGUAAUGGUAGCACAGAAGCCUUUGACGCUUUUAGUUGGGGUUCAAAUCCCUGUCGGACAACCA
Molecule: transfer RNA, 74 nt
Filed under: bacterium
Lineage: Bacteria
Description: tRNA-Gln
Rfam family: tRNA
About the family: Transfer RNA (tRNA) molecules are approximately 80 nucleotides in length. Their secondary structure includes four short double-helical elements and three loops (D, anti-codon, and T loops). Further hydrogen bonds mediate the characteristic L-shaped molecular structure. tRNAs have two regions of fundamental functional importance: the anti-codon, which is responsible for specific mRNA codon recognition, and the 3' end, to which the tRNAs corresponding amino acid is attached (by aminoacyl-tRNA synthetases). tRNAs cope with the degeneracy of the genetic code in two manners: having more than one tRNA (with a specific anti-codon) for a particular amino acid; and 'wobble' base-pairing, i.e. permitting non-standard base-pairing at the 3rd anti-codon position.
Source: RNAcentral